GACGAACGCUGGCGGCGUGCUUAAUACAUGCAAGUCAACUUGACUUUAGAUAGCAAUAUCGAAAAGUAGGGUGGCGCACGGGUGCGUAACGCGUAGGUAAUCUGCCCUGAGGUCUGACAUAACCCGUCGAAAGGCGGGCUAACAUCAGAUGAUAUAUAGUCACGACAUCGUGGAAAUAUCAAAUCUUCGGAGCCUUGGGAUGAGCCUGCGUCUGAUUAGGUAGUUGGCGGAGUAAUAGCCCACCAAGCCUACGAUCAGUAGUUGGUCUGAGAGGAUGAUCAGCCACACUGGAACUGAGACACGGUCCAGACUCCUGCGGGAGCAGCAGUAAGGAAUAUUGCUCAAUGGGGGAAACCCUGAAGCAGCAACGCCGCGUGAAGGAUGAAA
RNAcentral lists this ribosomal RNA (387 nucleotides) under uncultured bacterium. RNAcentral's name for it is "bacterial SSU rRNA". It matches the Rfam family "Bacterial small subunit ribosomal RNA", at positions 28 to 413 of the family's 1533-position model. The record is from RNAcentral.